UCCUGCAUCAGAGCUGGGAGAAUUUAGAUUAAAAAUAAAAAUAGCUUUUGAUCUGCUAGAUAUGCCUACUAUAAAUCAGUUAAGCUUACAUCCAGAAUAAAUACACAAAGAAUAAAUAAGAGCAGGUUGAAUAUAUUGUGAUCUCCCUCCUAGGGGACAAUUUUCAGGAAAAAAGUUGCCUGUUCAUAAUAACCUAGGGUCACUCACUGCUCAGAGCCUUUUAAAGACAUCAGUCGGAUAUACUAGCAGUCAAUUCCCAUAAAAUCAGUUAGCUGGGGGCUAGUCUAACAAAUUAGAGCAAACUUUCAGCUGUGGGAACGGAUUCACAAGAGAUGAAAAGUUUCUCUGAGCAGCUGUAGAUGAAGAUAGGAUCUCCCUGAAUGUGCUUGUGUAGCCAUUCUGACCUCAGCUGCUGCUUUUUGCUCCAGAUUAGGGAACUGUUAUUUGUUGAAGCUGGAAGUGUCACAAGUGGUUCCGGUUCUGUGUGUCCCUACAUGUCUUCUGCAAGGAUUCUUUUGAAGGUCGCUUCACUUCCUGGGGAUCCUUCCAACAGCCCCUCCCCACCAGCUGCUCUAGUCUCCACUGGAGAAAACAACCCCCAGAGGACUAAUCAAGGGGACAGUGCAUGAAAUGCUGUGGCCAUAGUUCUUCCAGCACCCCUUCUGCUUAAGGAAAAGAUGUGUUUAUACCUGACCUGUGCCUAUGAAAGGCCUUGCACAUAGGGACCUUCAGAAGGGAAGUGUUGUGUCAGCCCCAUCCCCUCUGUAAGGCAGGUGCUUUAAAGAGAAUACAGACAUUGGGGAGAGCACAAAUCUCUAUCUUUUGCCAAAUAAUCAUUAUUUCUGAGUAAUCUAAAAGCUAUGAAUUAGAGCUGUGCUGUAGGCGUAACACAUCCCAUGGUGGGAAGCAGGCUUCAGCAGCUGAAAUAGCUGGCUUGUAAAGCCACCUCUGGGAUUUUUCCAGGCUUCUUAAGUGAGCCCUGGGGGUGAGCUGCCCUAGUGCAUGUAUAUGAGUGCUCUUCAAACGACUACUGUGGCUGAGCAGCAGGGAGGGAGGGAGGAAGGGAGGCUGCCUCGGAGCCCUACCUGCUGCUCCCUAAGCCACAUGGAGCCUGUGGGGCAGAAGAUGGCUGGGAUAGGCAGAAAGGG
RNAcentral lists this long non-coding RNA (1148 nucleotides) under Apteryx owenii (little spotted kiwi). Its description in RNAcentral is "lncRNA (ENSAOWG00000015220.1)". The record is from RNAcentral. Lineage: Eukaryota; Metazoa; Chordata; Aves; Apterygiformes; Apterygidae.